UACGUAGGGACCAAGCGUUGUUCGGAUUUACUGGGCGUAAAGGGCGCGUAGGCGGCUUGGUAAGUCACUUGUGAAAUCUCUGAGCUUAACUCAGAACGGCCAAGUGAUACUGCAGUGCUAGAGUGUGGAAGGGGCAAUCGGAAUUCUUGGUGUAGCGGUGAAAUGCGUAGAUAUCAAGAGGAACACCUGAGGUGAAGACGGGUUGCUGGGCCAACACUGACGCUGAUGCGCGAAAGCCAGGGGAGCAAACGGG
This 253-nucleotide ribosomal RNA is filed under the name uncultured bacterium. RNAcentral's name for it is "partial 16S ribosomal RNA". It matches the Rfam family "Bacterial small subunit ribosomal RNA", at positions 524 to 776 of the family's 1533-position model. The record is from RNAcentral.